This 68-nucleotide transfer RNA is filed under the name Neotrigonia margaritacea. RNAcentral's name for it is "tRNA-Ala". The record is from RNAcentral. Lineage: Eukaryota; Metazoa; Mollusca; Bivalvia; Trigoniida; Trigoniidae.
AGACUCUAUACUUUAACAAAAAGACCUGAUUUGCAUUCAGACAUUGGGCAUAUUAUCCCUAGAGUCUG